CUCGCACCCAAACCCAAGAACCGCAGUUUCUGGUAACAGCGGUUUAAACAGAGGUGCGAACAGCAAGUGAAUCUCGUCGCCUUUGGGGGGCUGUGCCGUGCCCCACAGAGUGAAAGUGGAGGUUCUACACCC
Choloepus didactylus (southern two-toed sloth) is the source of this 132-nucleotide small nucleolar RNA. RefSeq annotates it as small nucleolar RNA SNORA68. The transcript has a single exon. The record is from RefSeq and is a predicted model, not a curated record. Lineage: Eukaryota; Metazoa; Chordata; Mammalia; Pilosa; Megalonychidae.